GCCGGGGUGGCGGAACUGGUAGACGCUGAGGACUUAAAAUCCUUUGACCUAACGGUCGUAGGGGUUCGAUUCCCCUCCCCGGCACCA
RNAcentral lists this transfer RNA (87 nucleotides) under Deltaproteobacteria bacterium RIFOXYB12_FULL_58_9. RNAcentral's name for it is "tRNA-Leu". It matches the Rfam family "tRNA". Rfam says of the family: Transfer RNA (tRNA) molecules are approximately 80 nucleotides in length. Their secondary structure includes four short double-helical elements and three loops (D, anti-codon, and T loops). The record is from RNAcentral. Lineage: Bacteria; Deltaproteobacteria.